GCCCCUGUGGCGGAACUGGUAGACGCGCUCGACCCAAAAUCGAGUUGCGCAAGGAGUGCUGGUUCGAUUCCGGCCAGGGGCACCA
RNAcentral lists this transfer RNA (85 nucleotides) under Bradyrhizobium iriomotense. RNAcentral's name for it is "tRNA-Leu". It matches the Rfam family "tRNA". Rfam says of the family: Transfer RNA (tRNA) molecules are approximately 80 nucleotides in length. Their secondary structure includes four short double-helical elements and three loops (D, anti-codon, and T loops). Further hydrogen bonds mediate the characteristic L-shaped molecular structure. tRNAs have two regions of fundamental functional importance: the anti-codon, which is responsible for specific mRNA codon recognition, and the 3' end, to which the tRNAs corresponding amino acid is attached (by aminoacyl-tRNA synthetases). tRNAs cope with the degeneracy of the genetic code in two manners: having more than one tRNA (with a specific anti-codon) for a particular amino acid; and 'wobble' base-pairing, i.e. permitting non-standard base-pairing at the 3rd anti-codon position. The record is from RNAcentral. Lineage: Bacteria; Pseudomonadati; Pseudomonadota; Alphaproteobacteria; Hyphomicrobiales; Nitrobacteraceae.